This 829-nucleotide ribosomal RNA is filed under the name uncultured bacterium. RNAcentral describes it as "bacterial SSU rRNA". It matches the Rfam family "Bacterial small subunit ribosomal RNA", at positions 625 to 1453 of the family's 1533-position model. The record is from RNAcentral.
UCUGGAAACUNUCUGACUUGAGUGCAGAAGGGGAGAGUGGAAUUCCAUGUGUAGCGGUGAAAUGCGUAGAUAUAUGGAGGAACACCAGUGGCGAAAGCGGCUCUCUGGUCUGUCACUGACGCUGAGGCUCGAAAGCGUGGGUAGCGAACAGGAUUAGAUACCCUGGUAGUCCACGCCGUAAACGAUGAGUGCUAGGUGUUAGGCCCUUUCCGGGGCUUAGUGCCGGAGCUAACGCAAUAAGCACUCCGCCUGGGGAGUACGACCGCAAGGUUGAAACUCAAAGGAAUUGACGGGGGCCCGCACAAGCGGUGGAGCAUGUGGUUUAAUUCGAAGCAACGCGAAGAACCUUACCAGGUCUUGACAUCCCGAUGCUAUUCUUAGAGAUAGGAAGUUACUUCGGUACAUCGGAGACAGGUGGUGCAUGGUUGUCGUCAGCUCGUGUCGUGAGAUGUUGGGUUAAGUCCCGCAACGAGCGCAACCCUUAUUGUUAGUUGCCAUCAUUAAGUUGGGCACUCUAGCGAGACUGCCGGUAAUAAACCGGAGGAAGGUGGGGAUGACGUCAAAUCAUCAUGCCCCUUAUGACCUGGGCUACACACGUGCUACAAUGGUCGGUACAACGAGUUGCGAGCCGGUGACGGCAAGCUAAUCUCUGAAAGCCGAUCUCAGUUCGGAUUGGAGGCUGCAACUCGCCUCCAUGAAGUCGGAAUCGCUAGUAAUCGCGGAUCAGCACGCCGCGGUGAAUACGUUCCCGGGCCUUGUACACACCGCCCGUCACACCACGAGAGUUUGUAACACCCGAAGUCGGUGAGGUAACCUUUUAGGGGCCAGC